AUCGAACGCUGGCGGCAUGCCUUACGCAUGCAAGUCGAACGGCAGCACGGGUGCUUGCACCUGGUGGCGAGUGGCGAACGGGUGAGUAAUAUAUCGGAACGUACCUUAUUGUGGGGGAUAACGCAGCGAAAGCUGUGCUAAUACCGCAUAAUCCCUAAGGGGGAAAGCGGGGGACCGUAAGGCCUCGCGCAAUUAGAGCGGCCGAUACCUGAUUAGCUAGUUGGUGAGGUAAAGGCUCACCAGGGCAACGAUCAGUAGCUGGUCUGAGAGGACAAUCAGCCACACUGGGACUGAGACACGGCCCAGACUCCUACGGGAGGCAGCAGUGGGGAAUUUUGGACAAUGGGGGCAACCCUGAUCCAGCAAUGCCGCGUGAGUGAAGAAGGCCUUCGGGUUGUAAAGCUCUUUUGUCAGGGAAGAAACAGCAGCUCUAACACAGUUUGCGAAUGACGGUACCUGAAGAAUAAGCACCGGCUAACUACGUGCCAGCCGCCGCGGUAA
Molecule: ribosomal RNA, 501 nt
Filed under: uncultured bacterium
Lineage: Bacteria
Description: partial 16S ribosomal RNA
Rfam family: Bacterial small subunit ribosomal RNA
Source: RNAcentral